CACGGAUCCAACAAGUUUUUGCACAAUGACUUCUUAUAUUUCAUCUUUUAUAGCAAGCUACACCAUAGAGAAAUUAAAUACAUUGGAUCAGAGACCAUUAUAGAGCAAGACAAAAGCAGGUUCUUCAUCAGCCAACCUGUACUGUCCCUGUUGCAUCUCCCUUCCCGUCCAACCAAAUCACAUCGAGAGAUGUCCCAUGCGCAAAUGAUAUAGUGAGUGAGUCAUGCUUGCUGCUGCACACGCGCAUGUAUGAGAAAGAGAACAACAUCAGUUGUUGCUUCACACGGGAGAGCUGGCGGCCGCUGCUUCGAUGACCUGAAUUAGCAUAGGUGCACUUUAGAUGUAGCAAAAUCUGAACUUAUUUAAAAUGGGAAAUUGAAAUUUAGCAUGCUGAUUGAUACAUCUUUUUAAUAAGUAGUUAUCUAAAUGGGAAAUGAGUUUCAAUCGUAUGCUAGAAGAUGCCCCAUGCAAAAACUAGAAAUAUGAGUGAGAUAGAAAGAAUUGUUUCAACAAGUUUGUUUAAGUACAAAUACAUGGUGGUAGCAGUAUUCAAUGCAAAUGGGAGCUUUGUACAAUACUCCAUUGCAAGCAUCAUAUAGCUUGGAUGUAUGAAACACAACCAUCACCAAUUCACCAUGUUACUGUUCUGGGCAUAGGCAAUAUAGUUGCACUGAGACGCUUAACCAGAUGAACUGAGACAACCAAUGGAGGGAGGAGUUCUUGUCUUAAUAUAGGCAGCUUUUUUUUACAAAAAUGGCUCGAACAUCUUUAAAGAAGACAACAAUGACCACUUUUUUAACUGCUUGAGUAAACAACCGCCAACUUACAGCAGAUCACUUGAACUUAUAGGAAAUAGAAAAAAGAACUAAGCUUGCAUCAUCAAAAUCUACAGUUUUUUUUCUGAAGUGAUAACAUAUGUAGAACUUAGGUCAAUUGGUGUGACGCAAACAGUUGAACUAGUGUAACAUAUGUAGUCGAACGGAUGUAACUAUUUGUAGUUGAACCAAUUGGAGACCUGGCAACGCAACAACAUUUUCAUUCUAUGGUGUCUCGCACAUGGUUUGCUAGAACAAGUUGAACUGAAUAUAUUUUUCGUUUUGAACUUUGAAAGAAGCUACAACUUCUGUUUCCCAAAUGUCUACAAAAUUUUAAGUUUCCAAGCACAUACCUUUUGUUUCCUUUUUGUUGAUGGGCACAACGUCCCUACUCCUGCAGACUGGCGGCACAGCGAAUUGGAGCUGAAGAAGAGGGGAUCACGAGCGGUGGCUGGGUGCACCAGGAUUUGGCUGUUGUAGGGGAUCCUAGCUACUACCAAGACAUCCCCGAGGAGCUAGUAGAGGGGGUCACCGGCCAUCUGGUGUAAUUUUGAACUACUAGGUGCACCGGUAUUUGGCUGCUUUAGAGGAACAAGAGGUCAGAACAAACAUGAAUUAUAUAGGUUACAGAUUUUGCCUUCUAUAAUGAUGUGCUUCCUGGGCAGUCCAAAAGCAGCAGCCGUACAAGUUCAGUAGCCGCUCAC
This 1519-nucleotide long non-coding RNA is filed under the name Triticum aestivum (bread wheat). RNAcentral's name for it is "long non-coding RNA (TAES_LNC010117)". The record is from RNAcentral. Lineage: Eukaryota; Viridiplantae; Streptophyta; Magnoliopsida; Poales; Poaceae.